This 466-nucleotide ribosomal RNA is filed under the name uncultured bacterium. RNAcentral describes it as "bacterial SSU rRNA". It matches the Rfam family "Bacterial small subunit ribosomal RNA", at positions 30 to 487 of the family's 1533-position model. The record is from RNAcentral.
AUUGAACGCUGGCGGCAGGCCUAACACAUGCAAGUCGAGCGGAUGAGUGGAGCUUGCUCCAUGAUUCAGCGGCGGACGGGUGAGUAAUGCCUAGGAAUCUGCCUGGUAGUGGGGGGACAACGUUUCGAAAGGAACGCUAAUACCGCAUACGUCCUACGGGAGAAAGCAGGGGACCUUCGGGCCUUGCGCUAUCAGAUGAGCCUAGGUCGGAUUAGCUAGUAGGUGAGGUAAUGGCUCACCUAGGCGACGAUCCGUAACUGGUCUGAGAGGAUGAUCAGUCACACUGGAACUGAGACACGGUCCAGACUCCUACGGGAGGCAGCAGUGGGGAAUAUUGGACAAUGGGCGAAAGCCUGAUCCAGCCAUGCCGCGUGUGUGAAGAAGGUCUUCGGAUUGUAAAGCACUUUAAGUUGGGAGGAAGGGCAGUAAGUUAAUAACCUUGCUGUUUUGACGUUACCAACAGAAU